RNAcentral lists this ribosomal RNA (1350 nucleotides) under metagenome. Its description in RNAcentral is "bacterial LSU rRNA". It matches the Rfam family "Bacterial large subunit ribosomal RNA", at positions 1564 to 2925 of the family's 2925-position model. The record is from RNAcentral.
UGAGUACGAGCGGCUACGGCCGCGAAGUGGAUGAUGUCAAGCUUCCAAGGAAAGCCCUAUACCCGUUAAGGCAUGAUGGCCUGUACCCGAAACCGACACAGGUGGGGUGGUAGAGAAUACCGAGGGGCGCGAGGUAACUCUCUCUAAGUAACUCGGCAAAAUGGCCCCGUAACUUCGGGAGAAGGGGUGCCACCGCGAGGUGGUCGCAGUGAAGAGGCCCAGGCGACUGUUUACCAAAAACACAGGUCUCCGCUAAGUCGCAAGACGAUGUAUGGGGGCUGACGCCUGCCCAGUGCCGGAAGGUUAAGGAAGCUGGUCAGCGCAAGCGAAGCUGGCGACUGAAGCCCCGGUGAACGGCGGCCGUAACAAUAACGGUCCUAAGGUAGCGAAAUUCCUUGUCGGGUAAGUUCCGACCCGCACGAAAGGCGUAACGAUCUGGGCGCUGUCUCGGAGAGAGGCUCGGCGAAAUAGAAUUGUCUGUGAAGAUGCGGACUACGUGCACCCGGACAGAAAGACCCUAUGAAGCUUUACUGUAGCUUGGUAUUGUGCUCGGGCUCGGAAUGCGCAGGAUAGGUGGGAGGCUUUGAUCCAUUGCUUGCGGGUGAUGGUGAGCCACUGGUGAGAUACCACUCUUUCCGAGCUAGAGUUCUAACAGCAACCCGUUAUCCGGGUGCUGGACAGUAUCAGGUGGGCAGUUUGACUGGGGCGGUCGCCUCCUAAAAGGUAACGGAGGCGCGCAAAGGUCUGCUCAGGCUGGUUGGAAAUCAGCCGACGAGUGUAAAAGCAGAAGCAGGCUUGACUGUGAGACCUACAAGUCGAACAGGGAGGAAACUCGGCUUUAGUGAUCCGACGGUUCUGCGUGGAAGGGCCGUCGCUCAACGGAUAAAAGUUACUCUAGGGAUAACAGGCUGAUCUCCCCCAAGAGUUCACAUCGACGGGGAGGUUUGGCACCUCGAUGUCGGCUCAUCGCAACCUGGGGCUGAAGUCGGUCCCAAGGGUUGGGCUGUUCGCCCAUUAAAGCGGUACGCGAGCUGGGUUCAGAACGUCGUGAGACAGUUCGGUCCAUAUCCGGUGCACGCGCAGGAAUAUUGAGAGGAUUUCUCCCUAGUACGAGAGGACCGGGAGGAACGCACCUCUGGUGUGCCAGUUAUCGUGCCAACGGUAAACGCUGGGUAGCCAUGUGCGGAGUGGAUAACCGCUGAAAGCAUCUAAGUGGGAAGCCCACCUCAAGAUGAGUAUUCCCAUGGCAUAAGCCAGUAAGGUCACGGGAAGAACACCCGUUGAUAGGCUCUACGUGGAAGCGCAGUAAUGUGUGAAGCGGAGGAGUACUAAUAGACCGAGGGCUUGACC